GGAAGGUAUUCACCUCCAACGAGACCUGCUACUAGAAUCCGACUGGUUCACGCUUACCUGUCCGUCCUCAUAGCACCCGAGAGUCGACUAUUCCUCCGAUUCACAUGGCAAGGUCGCCCAUGCCAGUUCACAUGUCUACCCGUGGUGCUUCAUGAAACUACUGAAACCAGUCAUGGCACAACUGAGGGCAAAAGGUAUUCGCUGUCUCAUAUACCUG
Pelobates cultripes (western spadefoot toad) is the source of this 217-nucleotide non-coding RNA. The record is from the annotation of a GenBank genome assembly. Lineage: Eukaryota; Metazoa; Chordata; Amphibia; Anura; Pelobatidae.